Stegostoma tigrinum is the source of this 254-nucleotide long non-coding RNA. RefSeq lists it as uncharacterized. The transcript has 2 exons. The record is from RefSeq and is a predicted model, not a curated record. Lineage: Eukaryota; Metazoa; Chordata; Chondrichthyes; Orectolobiformes; Stegostomatidae.
AGGAGGGAGAAUACUGUUCACUUGCAGCAACGGAAGGGAGAGGAAGUGAAUCCAGACAAGGAGCGUACACUGGAAAAUCUUGAUUCAGGUAACUGAACCUGUGCUGUUUACAAACAUCAGAGAAAGGCCCAGAAUACAAAACUGUUUGGUUAUAGAAUCAAAAUCCAACGGUGACAGUUACUAAGAAACUCAUUUUUGUUUAGCCCCUCCUGAGGAACCACAAAAUCGCUUUAUAAACAGUAUGCAGAUCUUUA